AGUGAACGCUGGCGGUAGGCCUAACACAUGCAAGUCGAACAGCAGCACAGGAGAGCUUGCUCUCUGGGUGGCGAGUGGCGGACGGGUGAGGAAUACAUCGGAAUCUACUUUUUCGUGGGGGAUAACGUAGGGAAACUUACGCUAAUACCGCAUACGACCUACGGGUGAAAGCAGGGGACCUUCGGGCCUUGCGCGAUUGAAUGAGCCGAUGUCGGAUUAGCUAGUUGGCGGGGGAAAGGCCCACCAAGGCGACGAUCCGUAGCUGGUCUGAGAGGAUGAUCAGCCACACUGGAACUGAGACAGGGUCCAGACUCCUACGGGAGGCAGCAGUGGGGAAUAUUGGACAAUGGGCGCAAGCCUGAUCCAGCCAUACCGCGUGGGUGAAGAAGGCCUUCGGGUUGUAAAGCCCUUUUGUUGGGAAAGAAAUCCAGCUGGCUAAUACCCGGUUGGGAUGACGGUACCCAAAGAAUGAGCACCGGCUAACUUCGUGCCAGCCGCCGCAGUAA
This 506-nucleotide ribosomal RNA is filed under the name uncultured bacterium. Its description in RNAcentral is "partial 16S ribosomal RNA". It matches the Rfam family "Bacterial small subunit ribosomal RNA", at positions 29 to 523 of the family's 1533-position model. The record is from RNAcentral.